Molecule: ribosomal RNA, 801 nt
Filed under: Clostridiales bacterium 1-IIB
Lineage: Bacteria; Bacillati; Bacillota; Clostridia; Eubacteriales
Description: partial 16S ribosomal RNA
Source: RNAcentral
GGAGUGCUUAAUGCGUUAACUGCGGCACCGAGGUUCGACCCCCGACACCUAGCACUCAUCGUUUACGGCGUGGACUACCAGGGUAUCUAAUCCUGUUCGCUCCCCACGCUUUCGUGCCUCAGCGUCAGUUGCAGUCCAGAGAGUCGCCUUCGCCACUGGUGUUCCUCCUAAUAUCUACGCAUUUCACCGCUACACUAGGAAUUCCACUCUCCUCUCCUGCACUCAAGCCCUACAGUUUCAAAGGCUUACUACGGUUGAGCCGUAGCCUUUGACCUCUGACCUAUAGGGCCGCCUACGCACCCUUUACGCCCAAUGAUUCCGGAUAACGCUUGCCCCCUACGUAUUACCGCGGCUGCUGGCACGUAGUUAGCCGGGGCUUCCUCCUAAGGUACCGUCAUUAUCUUCCCUUAGGACAGAGCUUUACGACCCGAAAGCCUUCAUCGCUCACGCGGCGUUGCUGCAUCAGGCUUUCGCCCAUUGUGCAAUAUUCCCCACUGCUGCCUCCCGUAGAGUCUGGACCGUGUCUCAGUUCCAGUGUGGCCGUUCACCCUCUCAGGCCGGCUACUGAUCGUCGCCUUGGUGAGCCAUUACCUCACCAACUAGCUAAUCAGACGCGGGCCCAUCCUGUACCGAAAUUCUUUGACCUUAUGAGGAUGCCCUCUAAAGGUGUUAUGGGGUAUUAGCAAUGGUUUCCAAUUGUUAUCCCCUGUACAGGGUAGGUUGCCACGCGUACUCACCCGUCCGCCGCUAAGUUAAGUUCAUUCACCCGAAGCUUCCUGAAAAAACUCGSUCGAYUUSAUG